GUGAGGAAUAUUGCGCAAUGGAGGCAACUCUGACGCAGCCAUGCCGCGUGCAGGAAGAAGGCGCUACGCGUUGUAAACUGCUUUUAACCGGGAAGAAACCCCAGGACGUGUCCUGGGUUGACGGUACCGGAGGAAUAAGCACCGGCUAACUUCGUGCCAGCAGCCGCGGUAAUACGAAGGGUGCAAGCGUUAUCCGGAUUCAUUGGGUUUAAAGGGUGCGUAGGCGGAGCGUUAAGUCAGUGGUGAAAUCCUGCAGCUUAACUGUAGACUUGCCAUUGAUACUGGCGCUCUUGAGUGCGCUUGAAGUGGGCGGAAUGUGCCGUGUAGCGGUGAAAUGCUUAGAUAUGAUGUAGAACACCGAUUGCGAAGGCAGCUCACUAAGCAAAUAUUGACGCUGAGGCACGAAAGCGUGGGGAUCAAACAGGAUUAGAAACCCUGGUAGUCC
RNAcentral lists this ribosomal RNA (445 nucleotides) under uncultured bacterium. RNAcentral's name for it is "partial 16S ribosomal RNA". It matches the Rfam family "Bacterial small subunit ribosomal RNA", at positions 354 to 796 of the family's 1533-position model. The record is from RNAcentral.